UCAACCCCGAAACGCGCCACGUCUUUCGUCGAGAACCCCUUUUACGUUCCGUUCCACGGUGACUCGAGGAUUCCAAGUUUUCGUGAUCGUGAGAACAAGGAAUGAUCGCUGCAAACGCAGAAGAUCUCGGGAUGCGGAGGACAGAAGCGAGGCAAACACUCGACUGUGCUACGCCGAGGGAGGAAGCCAGGACUAGGGAAAGUGUUCCUGGAUGAAGAGAGCGUGCAUCUAUCUUCAAGUUUGAUCGCGAUGAAGGAACUCUCGGUAAAUUGACUAGAAGCAAUCAGUUACUCCUUCGCAUAAUUCAGCCCAUGCAUGAGUAUAUAGAUCGUCUACGUAUGCUACCACCCCUCCCAAAAUUGUAUUUCCAUUCGACGUAAGAGUGUCGCUAGAAUUUUAUAUAAGAGACCGUUUAAUAAAAGACUUUUUUCAUAGAA
Long non-coding RNA from Ceratina calcarata, 437 nucleotides. RefSeq lists it as uncharacterized. Lineage: Eukaryota; Metazoa; Arthropoda; Insecta; Hymenoptera; Apidae. The transcript has 2 exons. The record is from RefSeq and is a predicted model, not a curated record.